GACGAACGCUGGCGGCGUGCCUAAUACAUGCAAGUAGAACGCUGAAGGAGGAGCUUGCUUCUCUGGAUGAGUUGCGAACGGGUGAGUAACGCGUAGGUAACCUGCCUGGUAGCGGGGGAUAACUAUUGGAAACGAUAGCUAAUACCGCAUAAGAGUAGAUGUCGCAUGACAUUUGCUUAAAAGGUGCAAUUGCAUCACUACCAGAUGGACCUGCGUUGUAUUAGCUAGUUGGUGAGGUAACGGCUCACCAAGGCAACGAUACAUAGCCGACCUGAGAGGGUGAUCGGCCACACUGGGACUGAGACACGGCCCAGACUCCUACGGGAGGCAGCAGUAGGGAAUCUUCGGCAAUGGACGGAAGUCUGACCGAGCAACGCCGCGUGAGUGAAGAAGGUUUUCGGAUCGUAAAGCUCUGUUGUAAGAGAAGAACGAGUGUGAGAGUGGAAAGUUCACACUGUGACGGUAUCCUACCAGAAAGGGACGGCUAACUACGUG
This 495-nucleotide ribosomal RNA is filed under the name uncultured bacterium. RNAcentral describes it as "partial 16S ribosomal RNA". It matches the Rfam family "Bacterial small subunit ribosomal RNA", at positions 28 to 507 of the family's 1533-position model. The record is from RNAcentral.